GGGGAUUUAGCUCAGUGGUAGAGCGCUUGCCUAGCAAGCGCAAGGCCCUGGGUUCGGUUCCCAGCUCUG
Non-coding RNA from Rattus norvegicus (Norway rat), 69 nucleotides. Lineage: Eukaryota; Metazoa; Chordata; Mammalia; Rodentia; Muridae. The record is from Rfam.